RNAcentral lists this microRNA (22 nucleotides) under Ornithorhynchus anatinus (platypus). Its description in RNAcentral is "oan-miR-1421m-3p". The record is from miRBase by way of RNAcentral. Lineage: Eukaryota; Metazoa; Chordata; Mammalia; Monotremata; Ornithorhynchidae.
UGCAUUGCGUGCGACGUCCCUA